Molecule: ribosomal RNA, 433 nt
Filed under: uncultured bacterium
Lineage: Bacteria
Description: bacterial SSU rRNA
Rfam family: Bacterial small subunit ribosomal RNA
Source: RNAcentral
ACGAACGCUGGCGGCAGGCCUAACACAUGCAAGUCGAACGCGCGUAGCAAUACGCGAGUGGCGCACGGGUGAGUAACACGUGGGAACCAACCCUGAGGUUCGGAAUAACCGCGGGAAACUGCGGCUAAUACCGGAUAUCCCCUACGGGGGAAAGAUUUAUCGCCUUGGGACGGGCCCGCGUCCGAUUAGCUAGUUGGUGAGGUAACGGCUCACCAAGGCUCCGAUCGGUAGCUGGUCUGAGAGGACGACCAGCCACACUGGAACUGAGAUACGGUCCAGACUCCUACGGGAGGCAGCAGUGGGGAAUAUUGGGCAAUGGAGGCAACUCUGACCCAGCCAUGCCGCGUGGGUGACGAAGGUCUUCGGAUUGUAAAGCCCUUUCGGCGGGGACGAUGAUGACGGUACCCGCAGAAGAAGCCCCGGCUAACUUCGU